RNAcentral lists this transfer RNA (68 nucleotides) under Marmota monax (woodchuck). Its description in RNAcentral is "tRNA.Ala". The stretch from base 5 to 65 matches the Rfam family "tRNA", at positions 6 to 65 of the family's 71-position model. Rfam says of the family: Transfer RNA (tRNA) molecules are approximately 80 nucleotides in length. Their secondary structure includes four short double-helical elements and three loops (D, anti-codon, and T loops). Lineage: Eukaryota; Metazoa; Chordata; Mammalia; Rodentia; Sciuridae. The record is from RNAcentral.
GGUCUGUGGCUCAGCGGUAGAGCGCUUGUCUAGCACGUGUGAGGCCCUGGGUUCGAUCCUCAGCACCA